ACUCCGCCGCGCCCUGCGGGCUUUCUUUUCCAGGCCUCUGCUCCUGGGUCCUGCCUCCGAGGUCAGGCAGGGCCUGUGGUUCCUCCCGACAUGUCGCAGAAGCCCUAGGGACUGUUCCGCAGCUCUAGAUGGCCCAGUGGGGAGGGGCUGCCCUGUGGGCAUUGCUGUCUGAUGGCCUGAAGGCACCGCUUGGAGGGACACAUGCCUGGGGACAGUGGGCUCACAGAUGUCUUGCUGCUUUGCCACCGAGCCUCACAGCCAUCUGCUGACCUCUCAGAGCCCAGCAGGCCCCUGCCCGGGGGUUCGUGGAAUGCCCCUGGGGGUCUCAGACCCACUGCUCAGCUCUUGGCCAGGCUCCGUAUCUCUCUAGAUUGGAGGAUUCUGGAGGGAAGUCGGUGUGGCCUCCGAUCAAAGCCUGGUGCUGACGGCCCCGAAGCGGGUGGAGGGCUUGUUCCUCACCUUGAGCGGGAGUAACCUGACCGUGAAGGUUGCAUAUAACAGCUCAGGAAGCUGUGAGAUAGAGAAGAUCGUGGGCUCAGAAAUAGACAGUACGGGAAAAUUCGCUUUUCCUGGUAAGUGCAGUUGCCCUGUGAUGGCAGGUGGAACCCGGCUGUGCACACAGCUAGGCCUUAUUGUUCCCCAUGCUGUUCCCUGCACUGUUCCCCAUGCUGUUCCCUGCACUGUUCUCUGUGCUGUUCCCUGCACUGUUCCCCAUGCUGUUCCCUGAACUAUUCCCUGUGCUGUUCCCCAUGUUGUUCCCUGCACUGCUCCCUGCACUGUUCCACAUGCUGUUUCCUGCACUAUUCCCCAUGCUGUUCCCUGCACUUUUCUCUGCGCCAUUCCCCAUGCGUUCCCUGCACUGUUCCCUGCACUGUUCCCCAUGCUGUUCCCUGCGCUGUUCCCCAUGCUGUUCCCUGCACUGUUCCUCAUGCUGUUCCCUGCGCUGUUCCACAUGCUGUUCCCUGCGCUGUUCCCCAUGCUGUUCCCUGCACUGUUCCCCAUGCUGUUCCCUGCAAUGCUCCCUGCACUGUUCCCCGCACUGCUCCCUGCACUGUUCCCCAUGCUGUUUCCUGCACUAUUCCCCAUGCUGUUCCCUGCACUUUUCUCUGUGCCGUUCCCCAUGCAUUCCCUGCACUGUUCCCUGCACUGUUCCCCAUGCUGUUCCCUGCAAUGCUCCCUGCACUGUUCCCCGCACUGCUCCCUGCACUAUUCCCCAUGCUGUUCCCUGCACUUUUCUCUGUGCCGUUCCCCAUGCAUUCCCUGCACUGUUCCCUGCACUGUUCCCCAUGCUGUUCCCUGCACUGUUCCCCAUGCUGUUUCCUGCACCGUUCCCCAUGCUGUUCCCUGCAGGGUUCCCUGCACUGUUCCCCAUGCUGUUCCCUGCACAUUUCAUGCCCCAGACCUUCCCAUUCUCCCACCAACACACUGGAUCAUCCUUCAAAAGCUUCUGUAGUGUCUCCAACCACUCAAGUGCUGGGACUGGGUGGGGGCAGGAUGGAGUUAGACCCUGCAGACCCUGGCCUUCGAGGUCCGUCCCCCUCAGACGUCUCCCCCAACGCCAUGGCCGGCUCUUGAAGGCCACAGAGAGAUCCACGUGCUGGACACCGACUACGAGGGCUACGCCAUCCUGCGGGUGUCCCUGAUGUGGCGGGGCAGGAACUUUCGCGUCCUCAAGUACUUUAGUAAGCUUGGCCCUGGGGGGCUCUGCCCAGCUGCUGCUCUCCCAGGGACUGCCCGCCCAGCCCCCCUGUGCCCCACAGCUCGGAGCCUUGAGGACAAGGACCGGCUGGGGUUCUGGAAGUUUCGGGAGCUGACAGCAGACACUGGUCUCUACCUGGCGGCCCGGCCUGGGCGGUGUGCCGAGCUCCUGAAGGAGGUGAGCCUGACCCCCGACCCUGGCCUGUGCUGAAGUUCCCGGGCCCCUGGCCCAGUCCCUGGCCCUGUCAGGAGCCCCCGUGGCUCCGCCUCCCGGCCCUGGGCUGGGCCUUCUCACCCCUUCCUGUGAACAGGACACCAAACACCACUGGUGGGCAGCUCCAGAGAUGAGUCUGUCUCCUGGUUUGGAAAGAGCUGGAACCUCCAGGGUGGUGACCCUAGGCUGCCAGGCAGGGACCCUGGGAGGCUGGGGUCACGGGGUGCAGAGCUGGGUGGGGCAGGGGAGCAGAAAUGGCGCCUUUUCUUCGGUGUUCUGUGCAGGACUGCCGGCUGCUUCUGCCCCCGAAGGUCCCGUCGGCGGCGGGGCACAGAUCCUGCGGGCGCUGCCUCAGGGCUCCCAUGUUGGGCACUGCGAGAACCCAGUGUCUCCCUCACCUCGCUUUGUCUUGGCCCUAGAGGCUGGGCCUGUUACCCCAUUUUGCAGAUUGAGAAGGCGCUCAGGGAGCUGGGUGCUUUGCGCAAAACCAGGCAGCGAGGACAGAAGUCCCGCCGUGUGGCCCUCAUCGAAGCCCCGUGGGGCCUCCAGAGACCACACGGGCCUGAGCCCCUGCACUUCUGUGUCGCAGGAGCUGAUUUAAUGGAGUUCCUGCCUCAGACCACAAGGUUCGGAGCGCCCGCCCACCCCUGCCCCUCCUGGGCACCCUGCCCACCAGGUCACCUGCACCUGCUCUGAAUAAACUGUGAAGUCAA
Molecule: long non-coding RNA, 2625 nt
Filed under: Homo sapiens (human)
Lineage: Eukaryota; Metazoa; Chordata; Mammalia; Primates; Hominidae
Description: non-protein coding lnc-LCN8-1:1
Source: RNAcentral